Molecule: ribosomal RNA, 460 nt
Filed under: uncultured bacterium
Lineage: Bacteria
Description: partial 16S ribosomal RNA
Rfam family: Bacterial small subunit ribosomal RNA
Source: RNAcentral
CCUACGGGGGGCAGCAGUGAGGAAUAUUGGUCAAUGGACGAGAGUCUGAACCAGCCAAGUAGCGUGAAGGAUGACUGCCCUAUGGGUUGUAAACUUCUUUUAUAUGGGAAUAAAACGUUCCACGUGUGGGAUUUUGUAUGUACCAUAUGAAUAAGGAUCGGCUAACUCCGUGCCAGCAGCCGCGGAAAUACGGAGGAUCCGAGCGUUAUCCGGAUUUAUUGGGUUUAAAGGGAGCGUAGGUGGAUUGUUAAGUCAGUUGUGAAAGUUUGCGGCUCAACCGUAAAAUUGCAGUUGAAACUGGCAGUCUUGAGUACAGUAGAGGUGGGCGGAAUUCGUGGUGUAGCGGUGAAAUGCUUAGAUAUCACGAAGAACUCCGAUUGCGAAGGCAGUUCACUGGACUGCAACUGACACUGAGGCUCGAAAGUGUGGGUAUCAAACAGGAUUAGAUACCCUAGUAGUC